This 43358-nucleotide long non-coding RNA is filed under the name Vitis vinifera (wine grape). Its description in RNAcentral is "long non-coding RNA (VVIN_LNC006670)". The record is from RNAcentral. Lineage: Eukaryota; Viridiplantae; Streptophyta; Magnoliopsida; Vitales; Vitaceae.
UCCCUAAGCUUUAAGUCAAGCUAAAAUUAACUAAAUAUGAGUACAACAGCUACUUACUUUGGGCAUUUUAGUUCUCUAUAUCUCAGCAAGGUGUUGUCCACCAAAAUUGCAAUUAAGGCCACUAGGUUAGAGCAAUACUAAUCCAGGAAGAAUAUAAAAGCACAGAUAAACAGCUAUAAUCCACAGAUCAGGCUACUCUUUCGUAUUAAGUGAAAAGCAGAUCAUAUUGGUACAAAAACAUACACAUGUCCCAUAUGGACAAGCACAUGAUACCUAAUUCUGCAUCAAACACCUGCUCGAACUUUCUCAUUGAUGUGUACAAUAAAAACAAGAUUCUGGCCAUAAAAUAAACAAUCUGGGUAAACUUGUGGCAAUGCAUCAUAUAUACUUAAAAAAAAAUAAGGAAACAUGCAACAUUGUAAUCAAUUUGAUCCAAUAUUAACAAUCCACCCACCAAGGAAUCCAGACAUGAAACUUAGACUAUUUAAUGACUAAAAACUAUGCAAUAUUUUUGUUGGAUAACCAAUUUUCCUAAAAGCUCUUAUGCUUGAAUAUGGGCUUAAUAAAUACAUGGUUGGGCUUGAACGUGGACUCAAUAAAUUGAAGAAAUAAAUAUGGCCUCCUACUAAAGAUGCUUAGAUUCCAUUUUGAACAACCAAGUUUUCUAGAAGUGCAAGUUGUUAAGAUUUGGAUUCAUAAUGUAUAUCAUGGUCUCCAACAAAUUUAACUAAAAAUGCAUCAUACACUUUUCCUUGGCAACAAGAAAGAAGCAUCUACAAAUGCCCCACAAGUGUUGGACCAGCUAGUCAUGUCAAGUGUAGACACAAUAACAAGCAUGGGGUAUAAAAAUGAUAUGCAUCAUAAUCAAAUUUUCUCUUUUGAACAUCCGAAAUGAGGCAUCAUGAAGAGCACGAGCAGCUGCACUGCCUGCCAUACCGGCACCUUUGACGAUAACAGAUGGUGAGGUUGCUUGCUGCCUUUCAAUAUUUGCAUAACAAAGAGCUACAAGACAGGAGAUUGAAUUCAGAUUCUGGAAAUCAGGCCAUAGAGAUGAACUACAAGUCUUCAACACUUUGAUAAAAGAAUCUUUAAAUGCACAUCCUAAUCACAAAAUAAUUUACAUCUUAGAAUAACAUUGGAAUGUACUGAAGUCACUAUCAUAUGCCUUCCAAGAAUACAUUUAUCAAAAUAAAUCAACAAAACAAUGAAGUAAAGCCCCCAAUAAAGACAAUUACAUUUACUAUAAGCGUGUAAAAGCACCUUUUAUCAACUCAUUUUUUAUACAAGAGGGAAGAAAAAUGGAAGGUACCUAGAGGAGACCCACAAAAAACAGUGAAAGAUCCUAGCCAUUGAUAUCCUUAUGUAAGGAGAUGAUGAAUGAUAGCAACAGAUGCAACUUAAAUCACAUCCUCAUCCACUAGUUUAGAGCUAGAAAGUUGCGGGAGCUGUUAUUCCCAAUACUCGAACUACAGUUGGCAUUCCCAGAUUUUUUGGAAGAGCUCCUCUUAGGCUAGAAGGUGAAGGGCAUAAAUAAAAGACAGAGGAAGGUAUUGAGCAUGGCUCCCUCUUGCUCGUUUUGGUGCAUGUGGCACCAGCAAAGUUGAAAGAUCUUCAAUGAGCAAGAUCUUCCCAACCAAAAGUAGAAGGAGAUCUCUAUUAAAUAAAUUUUGGAAUGAUCUAAAGUCCAGUUGGGAAAGGAGAAUUGUUCUUUAUAGAAUUAUAUUGAUAACAUAAAUUGUGGAUAGUCGUUCAUGUUUUUGUUGUUUUUGUCCGAGUGUUGCUAUUUUUUUCCCCUCUUAUAUCGGUGCUUCUUGGAUACCCAUACAUACAUACAAGAUUCAUGCACACAGAAGAUAGGUCCACUGCAAAAUAAAAUCUCAACAUGGUUCAAAUUCUUGUCUCAUUACACAAUGAAGCUCAAAUGCACUAUUAUUUAUAACUGUAUGGGGAAAAAGAUUCAUAAUAACUUUCUUUUGAUCCAAAAAGGUAAAGAUUUAUUUCACCUGCUUGUUUGCUAAUAUUAAAAGAGGAGCUCCUUGCAAAUCCUCAUGCCGGAGAAUUUUUUCUGAUAAUCAAAUUGAAGGUGUAAAUGCAUCAUUGUAAUUUCAAUUUGAAACUCCACACUAAUGGUAAAAUUGAUCAGUAAUUAAAAGAGCACUAUGUUCCACAAAAUCAAAAUAACCGCAAAUAACUCACCCAGUGCUGAUUUUGAAUCUUCAAAACAUGAUGGGCAAGAAGCGUCAAUUACAUAUACCACAGCAUGUGCCUCUUCAUAAUAUUUCUCCCAAAUUGAAUGAAGACCGGACUGACAAAAAAUAACUAAAUAAAUAAAUAAAAUAAAAAAUUCUUGCAUCAAUGAAAGAAAUUCAAAAGGAACCCUUCUUAUUUUAUUUCAUUUUAUUCAUUUUUUAGCUCAAUGUUUUGAAUCAUAGACAUUCAGACACCUAGAAUCUUAGCAGAUACAGGCUUGCUGAACCCUGGAAUUCUUAUUGCUCGCUACAUUUCAACAGUUUCUAGUAAAAAGAACUUAAGCUGAUCAAAAGAAAGAAAUUUCCUUUGUAGAGAAUGGAAGAAAGACAGCUGUACUACAUACAUUUUAUCAUGCAACUUUGAGACCAUUUAUAGAACAGCAUACAGUUAAACCCAAGUUUCAUCCCUUCUUUUCAUGUGAGCUCAUUUUCAGUUAUACAACAUAAGCAAUAAGUUUACCAUGAAUAAAAUAAUUGUUUCCUGUUUUACUUAUGGAAUUUCAGGUUUUUACAGUUCCCAAUAUCUGCUCUUAAGACAAAAAAUGAAAAAUAAAAAUAAAACACAAUAAAUAAAUCCUAAGAUAGUAACAAAGAAAGAAGGGGAUUCACUCAGUUGCCUCAAGAUUUUUGGGAAGUCUGCCUACCUGGUGGGUUCAAGCAGAUAAAGUCAUAAAAGACUUUAGUAUGAAGAGUUGAAAAUAUCACAGAUAUUCAUAAUCCCACUCCUAUUUGUUCUAGUGGCUAUUAACAGUAAAAUACCAAAGCACUAUUAUGUUGUACAAGAAUGCAGUGCUGGAAAAAUGGUAUUAUAUUCUAACCAUAGUUGUUAAUUCAUAAAAUGUAUCAUAUAUCAUUUUUCUGUAUCGUGUAUUGUAAGUUUUUUUAUAUAGUAAAAAUAAAAUAAAAUAAAAUACGUAUAUGUAUGUAUAUCUACUAAAAGUAUGAAGUAUAAAGUAACAUAUAACCAAUUUUAUGAAAGAUAGUAAGAUCUAAAGAGUUGUUAAAGUUUUGACAAGUUUAAAUUAACACAAUAUGACUUUAUAUAUAGAUUCAUCACAUUAUCCACAACAAUAAACUUCUUCGAUAAAAGAAAUAAAAAAAGCUAAUAUAUUAAGUAAAAUUUUUCAUUUACUAAUCACCAUCAUUUUCAUUAUCAAUAUUCAAACCAUUCAAAUGAAAAUUCUUCGAUAUUCAAUGUAAAAAUAAACUUAUUUGACUUCUAAUAUAACAUUUGACUACAAGAAUGUAGCUUUUCUUAUAAGAUUAUAUUGCCAAUUUCUCCUUUGUAUGACCCAUUUUUAAUUUUUUAGUAUAUUUUAAACAAUUAAUAUAAUAAAUUCUUUCAAUAAAACAAAAUUAAUUUGACUUUUAAAAAAAAUCAUAGAAAAUAAUUAAAGAUGUAUGUAUUGUUGUAUCGUAAUAUCACGUAUCAUAUCAUGUAUCGCAUGUGUAUCGUAGAUAUGCUUUAAAAUAAGAUACAAAUUGUAAUACAUAUUGAUUUCGAUAAAAAAUGUAUCAUAUCAUUGCAUUGUAUUGUGUAUUGUAAGUUUUUUAACAACUAUGAUUCUAACAAUAAAGAUUACAAAAGUGAAAAACCUAGUAAAUGAUAUAACUCAGAAACUGUUAUCAUUGUAGAUGAUUGCAUGAGACCCCGCUGUUAUAGUCUAAGAAAAUGGUGUUGGAACUUUUAUGGAGUAACUGAAGAAACUCUGAGAAUAUCCACUUGAUUGUCAGUUUUGGGAUGUCUUACAUACCUGACCUCCCAGGUCCCAGAACACAAGUUUUGUAUUUGACAAUUCAAAUCAUAUAUAUUAGUAAGUAUUAAUAAAGUUUCCAGAGACAAGUGCAAUGGUUUAAGGAACAUGAACAAAUAAAAGUAUUAAUAAUAUUAAAGCUGAAUCAGAAAUAGACAGGUAAAAGAAGGUUUUUUUGGAACUUAUAUGCUUCAAACUGGAAUAAUGUUCUUUUAAACUACAAACAGUAAAGAAUACAUACUGUUCCUUUCUUAUCAAACCUAGAGGGCUUAUACUACACAUAAAAUUUAAAAUAUUACAACAACAAAAUAAUGAAAAACUUAAAACCCAAAGCCACUAGCGAUUGAUCAAGGGCCAAAACAGCACUUACAAAGUAGAAAACUUGAUUCUUACCAGGAGAGCAUAAAUUGAAAAUCACCAAUUAUCCCAACAUCCAACUCAAUAAAUUGAAACACUUCAAAAUCAAAAUGUCAAAAAUAUAUCAAAUUUCUUCUAUAGAAACAUAAAACGAACUGAAUGCUUGAAGCAACAUCAACCAUCCAUUAAUUUGAUUUUUAGUCAAUCACCCAUUUCUUUCUUUUUGAAAAAUGAGGCCACACAUUUAGGUAGAAUCGCUCUCUGCUACAGCGCAGGCAAUGCGUACAUACAUAAGAACUAAAUCCUACCCACAAAAUGUCUCCUCAAAAAACUAUAAUUAAAAAAAAAAUUAAAUAAACAAGGGAGACACCGGUUCAGAAAACUAUAGUUUCAAAGCAAUAUAUAUACAAGAAAUCAAAGAACAAAAGGCUCACGAACCUGAAAGCUACCUCUGAAAUUCUUGAAAAAAGUAACAGAUUACAUACUACACCAAGACAUUGAUUAAUCUAAUGAAAAGAGUGGAACUCCACGAAACGAUAUUUACACAAAUGAGGUUAGGGUUCCAAAAAUUUAGGGUUCCGGGAGGGACAAAAGCAAAUGGAGUUUUGGGUUUCCGUUGAGAGAGUUGGUGUCGGGGUGAAAAACGUGAGACCUUUUUAUAUUUUUAUUUUUUGGGCUUUUAAGGUUUUUUGGGUAUUCAGAUGUGGAGGCUGAGUUGGACGAAUGGCGAGGGCAUUUUGGGAAUGAAAGCACACCUCUGUGCGGAGUGCAUGGAAUUGCUAAUAUUUUCGGCAUCAGCACAGAUUUCUUGAUUUUCCCAAAGUGGGGAUUGAAAAUCCUAAUAUUUUGGGAUUAACAGCCCAUAACCAAGUUUUCCCUUAUAGUAACUAAUGCUAUCAUGACUGGCUAGGGAGUUUCUGGUGGAAUAUGAUGAGAGCCAACUGAAAGGAGUGUAUGUCGCGCAACAUUACUUCACAUUUUGUUAAUCAAAUUACGCGCAUCCACGAAUUAUAAAUAAAGAAAAAAUAAAAUUUUUAACAUGAUUUAAUGAUAAUCAAUGUGAUAUUUACAUUCACAGAAUACACUAUCAUUCAAUAAUUUAUUAAUCAAAGUUAAAAAAACAAUAUAUUGAUGAAAUUCUAAAAAAACUCUCAAUUGCAUCACAAUUUCUAAAAAAUUCCCUUUAAAAUAUAAAAUGGUUAAAUAUAUAAAGGAGACAAAUUUGUGAUUCAUUGUAUAAAAAAACCAAUAGAAAGUUCAACCUCCAACAUCUCAAAUGAAGUGGAAUUUUAUAGUAUUGGGUUUAAAAUGUGGGUCUUUUUUUUUAAAAAAAAAACUCAACCGUGAUGAUAAACCACAUUAGAUGGUGAAAUGGGCACUUGGGAGUUAAAAGGAGUCUGAGUGGAGCACUGCAUGGUUCAUAAUUAAAGGAUAUCUAUGACAAGAAAAAUAAUUAAAUGCAUGAUUUGUUAUAGAUUGCUGUGAUGUGGCACAAAGAGCCUAGCAUGUAAGCCAACUCAUGUCAUCAACUAAGAGCUUCCUCCAUGUUAGAGUUAGUAACAUUUGCAAAUGGAAUUGAAAAGGUGAAUCUCAAUAAUGGACUACACCUAGAGAGGGGUGAAUAGGUGUUGUAGUACAAAUUAAAAAAUCUCCCAACAAAGAUUACCUAACCUUAGACUAUCUCAAUGUCAAUAACCUUCUCUUCCAACAACUUUUCAACAAAACAUAACAUCCACAAGCAAGAAUGUAUGCAUCAACACUCUCCCAACAAUUAAGAAAUGCAAAACACAUACAAAUGCUUCAACACUCCUCGAGAAUAAAUCAAAAUGUAAAGUGAGAGAAAGAGACAAUGAACAUUGGAUUUUUAACGUGGAAAACCUCCGAAGAGAUAAAAAACCACGGGCCUAUCACCGAUUGAAAAACUCCACUAUGAAGAACAAAAACUGAGCACAAGGUUUUACCUAGCUGAAACCAACCAAUCCUUCUCAUAGUUUACAUGAACACACCUCCUUAAGAUCACCCAAAAGGACUAUCUUAAUCUUAUAAAGAUAUCAUGGUGCCUCUAUUGAGAAUACCUAUUGCUACCAACUUUCAUCAACAGUGGCGCAAUCCAUAUGGAAUAUAUGAUUAUCUUAGGAUCUCAUCCAUAGAUUAAAAUCACUACUAACUUUGGCAUAAACUUAGUAUUAUCUCAAGAUUGAGAGACAAUACAAUGUAGUAGAUUAGUGAAUUCAUAACUACUUAAUAGUCUUACGUCAUGACUCACUAUAGGUUUUAUCUGAUGUGUAACUAUAUAUAUACUAGUGCACUCACUAUGGGAAACUCAUCCUAAUGGCCAAGACCAUCCAAUAUUACUCUAAUUAGAAGGUGGUACACUACAACCUCUAAUGGGUUGUCUAGAUCCACAAAUUGGUUGUGAAUAAAUCAUCUAUUUGUAAGGAACCCAUAACUUGGAUCUUUUGUAAGACAUGUACAAUGCAAGAAAUGCUAGGUGAGAAUGUUUAUAAAGUAUGCUUUUAAGGGCUCAUCCUAACAAUAGGGUUCUUUAGGUUCUUUUGGCAAGUUUGAAAGCACUAAACAAAAGGAAAAGUUCAAGAAAUGGAGUAAGAAGAGCAAAGAGAAGGGAAAAUGUUUCCUUUGUAAAAAGAAAGACCACUAGAAAGAGAAGUGCUUGAAUUCUUGAAGAAAAAACAAGGUAUGUAUCAUUCACUUUUAGUUGAAUCCUAUUUAAUGGUGGAUUCCACCAACUCUUGGUAGAUUGAUUUUAGGGCCACUAAUCAUAUCAUUCUUGAGUCUAAAAAGGACUUCAUUCCAGUUUCUAAUUUAUGUAAAUCAAAUUAUUCAAUGUUUUUCAAUAAAUAAGUUAUUAUUAAAAUGAAUAAUUCAUUUAUAUUCUUAGGAUCAUUGGUUGAUAAUCUUUAUCAUUUAUCUCCAUUAUCACUAUUGCCAAGUAAUGAAAAUAAUCAUAUCUCACUUUAAAGAAAAGAACCCAACACUAAUCAAACAUAACUUUGGCACUUACACCUAGGUUAUAUUAAUUUAAACAUGAUCCAAAACCUGGUUAAGUUUGGAAUAUUACCCUCUUUGAUUCAAGAGGAUCUUCUAAUCUAUGAAUCUUAUAUGAAAGGAAAAAUGACCAAGAGACCCCUUAUUAUUGAAGGAUAGAAAGCCAAGGAGUGUUUGAAGUUAGUGUAUACUAACUUUUGUGGGACUUUUAAUGUCCAUUCAUGAGAAGGGUAUGACUAUUUCAUCAUCAAUACCAAUAAAUACUCUAGGUUUGGAUAUACUUACCAAAUACAUAGGAAAUCAGAUACCUUAGAUUAAUUCAUUGAAUUUAAGUUAGAAUUAGAAAACAAAUCAGGAAAACAUUUAAAGGCACAUACACCUUGAAGAUUGUGGCUUACCUACCUAACCUAGUACCUUCCAAGUUGGUACCUUUAACUCCUACCAAGAUGUGAGUUGGUCGUAAACCUAGUUUGUGACACAUUCGUAUUUAGGGGUGUCUAGCACAUAUGAUGAAAAAUAGGUAGACAAGUUAAAAAGGUUAUAGGAAUGACAGUUUGUAGGCUAUCCAAAAUGAACAAAAGGGUGUUAUUUUUAAAGUCAGAUUGACUAAAAGGUAUUUGUUAGCAUAAAUGUUAGAUUUCUAGAAGAAGACUAUAUGAUAAGUAAUAGGGUAAAGAAUGAUAUAAAUUGGAGAGCACUUGAAGGCAUUCCCACAUUAGCAUAGAAAACUAUAGGUCUAGAGAUUUUUACACCUGUCAUUCCUAGUAGUUCUACUACAUGAGAGUCUUUUCAUAGUAAUAGGGUUGUUAUACAAUCAUAUAGGUUCAUGUAUUAGUGUUUUGAGGCUAGUAUAGAGGAACAUGGGAUUGAUCCCACAAAUUAAAAUAAUGCAAUGAGCUAUAGAGGUAGAGUUAGAAUCUAUGUAUUCUAACGAAGUCUAGGAUUUUGUAGAAGCACUUGAAAUGAUAAAACACAGGGUGAAAAUGGGUCUAUAAGAGGAAGAGAGGAGUAGAUGAAAAGGUUGAUACACAUAAGGCUAGGCUUAUAGUGAAGGGUUAUAAUUAGAAACUUGGUUUUGAUUAUGAAGAGACCUUCUCAUCAGUGGCCAUGCUCAAAUCCAUCAGAAUACUCCUAUGCAUUGCAACAUAUCUCAAUUAUGAGAUUUGAAAAAUGGAUGUUAAGAAAAAGAUCUUGAACGACUAUCUUGAUGAGAGCAUCUAUAUAAUGCAACUAGACAAUUUCAUAGCAAAGGGCCAAGAGCACCUUGUGUGCAAGUUGCAUAAAUUCAUUUAUAGAUUAAAGUAAGCAUCUGACUCAUGGAACAAUCGUUUUGACUAGGUAAUCAACACUCUUGAUUUUGAUCAAAUAAGGGUGAACCUUAUUGUAGACCCUCCAUUUUUUUUUAGUAGCACAUGUUAUUCUAUGUAUUUUCCUUCUUUUCUCAUUGCAUUAUAGUCACCCAAUGGUGGUCCAUUAUCACUCAUUUAGUUUAGUAUUUUUUGAACCACCUUGAGAGAUUUAUUGUUGAGUGAUUUUUAUAAAUCCCAAAUGUGAUCUUAGUUGCAUGCUUGGUCUAACUCACUUAGAUGUUGCAUUUUAGGUUUAGUUCACUUAGUUAUGUGCUUAGUCUAGCUCACUUAGUUGUCUUUUAAGUUUAUUUCACUGAUUUGCACCUUAGUCUAGCUUGCUUAGUUACAUUUCAAGUUUAGUUUACUUAGUUGCAUUUUGGGCUUAGUUCAUUUAGUUGCCUUCUUUGUCUAGCUCAUAGUUGAAUUCUUAUUUUAGCUCACUUAGUUGCAUUUUAGGUUUAGUCACUUAGUUGCAUGCUUAGUCUAGCUCACUUAGUUGUAUUUUAAGUUUAGUUUGCAUAGUUGCAUUUUAAGUUUAGUUUACUUAGUUGCAUGUUCAAUAUAUUGGAGAUUGAAUAGGUUGCUUUUGGGUGCAUGGCUAUGGGAGAAAAAUAAGGAAAUAAUGAAAUUUUGUAUGGACUCCUAAGAAGGAUACAAAUGGCUAUAAGGAGGAAAAUUUGGAAACUUUGCGAUUUGAUGGAUUCUCUUGAGGUAUGCAUGGUUAGGAUGUAGGAGAGGAUAAGGAAGACAUUUUGAUUUUAGGAAGGAGUCUAUUUGAUAUACACCGGUAUAAGGUGGUUCUUAAGGAAGGAAGAAGAUUUUGAGAAGUUUGAGUUAGUAAAGGAUUCCCUUGGAGACACGGAUUUGAUUUUUGAAGAUUGAGAUAGAGAAGAAGAUUCAAGCUAUAUUUGACUUUGCCAUUGAGAUGAUUUUUUUUUUUAAGGACAUUCAUGCCACUUGGAGUUUUAGAUAGGUAGGAUUCUUCUUAGAAAGAGAAAGAGAGUUUUUGAGGAAAAAAAUGACCCUCUUUGGGAUGUUAUUUGAGAUGGAGAUUGAGAGGAUUAGUUUUUGGGGAUCUAGGGAUUGAGAUUGGAGAUUGUGAAAGAGCAUUGAGAUAAGGAGAUUCAAAAGGACUCCGUUUGGUUCAAGCUACAUUGAGAUUGGAGAUAGACAUUCAUGUAAUAGGGAGAAGAUAAUAAGGAAUGGUGUAGUUGCCACUAAUGGAGAAGAGAAGUUGAAGAUGCCAUGGAGACUUUGGAGAAGGGUUUGACCACGCCAUUGGAGAAGGAAAACACGAUUGUCACUAAUUUAGAUAUGAGAAAAAAUAAGAUCUUGAAAAAAAAAUGGUUUUAGGAAGAAAAAGUGAGAUCUUAAGAAGAAAAUGUGACAUCUUGAGAAGAAAAAGUGACAUCUUGAAAAGAAAAGAUGGCAUCUUAAGAGGAAAAGGUGAAGUCUUGAAAGGCUAGAGAUGUGACAUAGCAAGAAAAAAAAGGAAGCUUCAUUUUUUUGGAGGAGAGGUAUUAUUCUCUUUAAUUUUUCUGCAUAUCUUAAUUAUGAUCAUUUGUCCAUCUUUCUCUUUUACUUCCAUCUUGCUUGAAUAUGGAAUCUCUUUAGUUGGUGUGGAUGCGUAGGCCACAUGGAUUGUUGGUAUUCAUUGAUUGGAUGAUUGUUGAAGAUGAAUGGUUGUUUAUGCUUAAGAUCUAUUUUACUCAUGUUUUUAUUGGUUUUCUUUCACUUAGUUUAAGCCUCUUUGAUAUCACAUGACAUGAGGCCUUGCAUCACUUGGUAUCUUUACUUUGGUUCCAUUUAUUUGAUUGUUUCUUUGAGAUGUUUGAGUUUAGGUUUAGUUAUUACCUCUCACACAUUCACCCACACACCUAUCCUUACUUUAAGUUUUGUUAUCUUGUUUUCAUCUUGGGGUCUUAUGUGAAUUGAUUAUUUUAAAAUAUGUUUUUAAGAGGAUUUCUAUAAAAAUUUGGUUUUUCCAUUUUCCAAGUUCAUCUUAGAUCUUUAGAUUAUAAAAAUUAUUUUUUGAAAAACAUUCAACCAUGUUUCAAUUGGUAUGCACUUUUCUUAUUGAUUUUCAUUGUUUUUUGGUUUUCUUACAUGAAUAAAAUCCAUGGCUCCCAAUAAUGGAAUAACUCUCGGUCCUUAUAAGCUUCGUCAUGAUUAUGGAAGAUUAAGAAACCUGUAUUUUAUUCAUUGACUUUAAUAUGGACCAUGGUAGAGUCCAACAUACUUUCAACUUUUCCAAAUAAAAGCCUACUGCCAUUUUAGUUGUCUCACUAACCUUUAUGAUGAAAAAUUGGAAUCAAGGCACUUAGGGUUCUUCCAAUAAUAUUUUGAUAUUUGCAUGAUGUUUCUAACUUCCUACCUUGUCAAGCAGAUUUAAUUUGGGCUUCAAAUCAUUUCUCAAUUAAGAGAUUUAAAUAAGUUUUUACAUAGGUUCCAUUUUAACCUUAUUUUGGACACCUGAAUUGAUUAUGAAAAAUUAAAUUAUUUCUCAAUUUCCUUAAUUUUUUUUAUAUUUUUUCCUUAAUAUAAUUUUCUUAAAUUUAAUUUUAGGACUUUUUUUCAUUGAAAAUCAAUUUUCGAAGUGGGAGAAGAAAAAAAUAUUUUUCUUACCCUUACUGCGAAACCUAUUCUAAGUCAAGAAUUGUUUGGCUUAAUUUAUUUGUGAGAUUUAAUCAUUUUUUAAAUUUUCAUUGUAAAAUAUACAUAUUGAAUGUAUUGUAAAAAAUUUAACUUGAUUUUAUCAUACUUCUAGGUUAGUCAAAUAAAUUCAUUUUUAUAUGUUAUUGAAAUUUGCUCUAUUUCUUGUGAUUUUGAUUUUGAAAUAAUCUGGUAUUGAUUGGAAUCUAAUGAAAUAAUUUGGCCUUUUGGAUUGUAAUCUAGGUAUGUAGGAGAUGUUUUGAAAUAUUUUUCAUGAUAAAAUUCAUUUUCUAAAUAUUUUUUUAGGAUUUAUUUUUAAGUCCUUCUAUUUUGGAUAUACGUUGAUUAUUUUGUAUAGUGUUCAUAGUAUGAAUUCAUUUGGUAUUGAUUGACACCUAAUUAAAUAAUUUGGGAUUUUGAAUUGUGAUAUGGAAAUAUUGAAGAUGUUGUCAAUUUUAUUUUAUUUAUUUUUUUGAUGAAAUAACACCUCUAGAUAUUUUUUUAGGAUUUACUUUUUGAAUGCUCUCUGUGUUAUAGCUGAAAGUCUUGUUUGUUGUUAAUAUUUUAGCUUCUUUAGACAUGCUUUUAGGUUGCCUUGACUUUUGUGAUACAUUGCAGAUAACUUAUACAUAUUAAAUAAGUUAUUUUAUCUUAUAUUAGAUGAAUAUAUGUUGAAAUCUUUAAUCUAACUAUUGUGUAUUAUUUCAACUUAUUUCAUUUUUUUAGUCUUUGACUUGGAUUUGAUUGUAUGUAAAAUGAGACCUCACCUAUGAUAUCACAUUCAUUAUUUCAUCCAUUAAGCUAAUCCCUUUGGUCUUAUGAAAACGCUUGCUAUGUUAUAUUUGUGUAUUACAGGACAUUUGCUAUGUUAUACUUGUGUAUUACAGGACAUUUGCUAUGUUAUACUUGUGUAUUACAGGACAUUUGCUAUGUUAUACUUGUUUAACUAACCUUAUUAUUCUAUGGAAUCACUUUAGAUUGCAGUUCAGGUACAUUCCUUCCUUUUUCUUAUAUGUUUGAUUAUACUUGAUAUGCAUAUCUUAAGUGAGUAGCAUUUUGCUAGGCUUUUUGUUAUUAUCAUUUUUACUUUAUUCUUGCUCUUCGAUAUCCAUGAUUUACAAAUCAAUUGUUAUAAUUACCUCAACUUUAUUAGUUGAGAUCUUUAUUGAGGGUUUAGAGGGGUGCUACCUUCCUAAUAGGUAAUUUGACCCCCAAUCUUAGACUCGGUUAUCAAAGGCCUACUUUUCCAAAUAAAGAGUCAUUUUUAGGGUUUUGUUUCUUAUUUUAUUUUUCAUUUAACAAAUAAAUAAAAAUAGGUGGCGACUCCAAUUUUUAUAAAAAUCAGUCUUUUACUAAAAAUGAGUCUCACCAUCAAGUGGGAAUGCACAUGAAAAAAAUGCAAGUCCACACUUACCACAAGAAUAAGAAAAUUAUGUUGUCUUAAGCCAUCGACAUUGACAAUCUUAUUGUUAAGUGUGUGAUGCAGGACUCCAAGAAGGGUCUACUACCCUUUAGAUAUGGAGUACCUAUUUCUCAAGAUCAAUAUCUUAAGACAUAUGAGAAAAAUCAUAUGAAGGCAAUACCCUAUGCCUCAAUUGUGGGUAGCCUUAUGUAUAAGAUGUUAUACAUUAGAUAAGAUAUUUGCUUUUGUUAUAAGGAUGGUGAGUAGAUAUCAGUCUAAUCUAGGACCAGAGCAUUGGAUGGUGGUCAAGCAUAUGCUUAAGUAUCUUUUGAAGAAUGAGAAAUUAUAUGCUAGUGUAUAAUCGUAAGUUUACCUCUAGGUUAGUGUUCGCUUUAGAUUAUGAGGUUGUCAAUUGGAGAAGUGUGAAGCAGUCCUAUAUUUUUUACUCCACUAUGGAAGCCAAGUAUGUUGUUGCUUCUACAAUAAUAAAAGGAAUCUAUUUAAUUGGCUCAGAAUGUUUCUCAUAGGACUUGGGGUAGUGCCCUAAGUUGUACCAUCUUUGAUACUAUUUUAUGAUAACAUUGGAGUGAUACCACAAUCUAAAGAACCAAGAAACCACUAGAAUGGUAAACACAUAGAGAAGGAGUAUUACUUGAUACAUGAGAUAAUAAUGAGAGGAGAUGUGGUUGUGGAGAACAUUGCUUUUAUGGAAAACUUAGCAAAUCCCUUCACCAAGACUUUGUCUACUACAUUCUUUGAUGGUCAUAGGGAUAGCAUAAGUGUCAAAUGUAUUCCUAUCAUGCUUUAAGGCUAGUGGGAGUUUGUUGGGAUAGAUUCUAAGAAAGCAUGACAUUAUGUAAUAGAUUUAGAUUCAUUAAUAAAUUAAUUUAUUUAUGAUUUAGUUUCCCUUUUGUGGAAUUUAACAUACGCUAUUUGUCAACUACGACAUGACAAUUGAUCACACAAUAUGAGGAUUUAUAACUUGAGGAUGGUAAAGGUAAUCUUAAGAGGUUGAUAGAAAUCACCUAGUUAGAUUAUGGCUCCAAGUCGUGGGAAGACUCCAUAUAGUGGAUAGUAUGUCACAAACUUGAGUAGUUAUGUCUUAUUGUAAUAUACAUAAGGUACUAGAGUGUAGUUGACUCUCUAUAGGAGGAUGUUGAGUCAACUUCAGAAUUAGAUUCUGAGGGAGUUAGUAUUAUCCUAUGGUUUUUAAUGGGCCUUGGUCGAGCUCAUAUUUGAUAAUGGUAUGGUUUAUAAGGGUUUGAUUGGUUCUUAGUUCACUUAUGUGAAUAAAGGUGUUUUAGUAAAUAUGUAAGAUUAGUGUUAGUGAAUAAUCUCCUUUAACUAUACUAAUUGAUUAAUUAGGACAUUUUUUAAGCUAGAUUAAGUGACCUAGCCUAAGGUGGCCUUAAGUCAUUUAAGCCUACAAAAAUCCUAUAAAUACCCCUUUUAGGGGUUAGGGUAUCACUCUUGAUAGUCUUGUUUUCUUACCAGUCAAAGAGAGAACCAUAACCUCUACCCUCUUGAGAUCUGCACUAUCUCAAUGUCUUGGAUUGAAAGAGGAGCCAUCAGGUAGAAGAUUGCUACAUGUGCGAGAUCUUCUAUAACUUUGUAGUUUUCUACACAAACAAGAAUUGAUAUGGGAACAUCCUAAUCUAGGUAAGCACAUCCAAACCAAGAGAUCUAGUUCUUUAAAAAGUUUUUAUAUACUUAUUGGUCUCCAUUACUAGGGUCUAGAUAGCCCUAAGAAGAUUACAUGCACCUAAUAAGAUCCAGGGCUUGGGAGCUAUGUAAUCUGAGAUUCCCUACAAUUGGUAUUAGAGCCUUAGGUGAGGUUUGAGCAUGCUAAAGCCUUUCUUGGAUAUGCUAACCACUGUUUUGCAAGGUUUAUUCAAAGGGUUCAAACGGAUGAAUAAUGGAAGGUUUUUUUUUUCUCAAUUUAAUUAUGCUAGUUGAAUGGAUUCUAAGAACUUUUAAUUGGAAUGUAAAAAUUUGAUUUUCAAUUUGCAUACUUUGAUUGUAAACUUUGGUUUAAAAGAGUAUAAGGCUUUGUGUUUCUAUGUAAAAUGUUUUAUCUUUCAUCAAUCUUUAUAAUCCCCGAGGACAUGGAGGUGAUCUAAUCAAUCAAGGAGCAUCCAUGGUGAAUCCCUAAUCAAAGAAAGCUAAGUUUUUCAAUGGAAUGGCAAUAAAAGAAGAGUUAGAAUGACUCUUAGAUUGGAGAAUGCAAUAGCAAUGCUCAAGCGGCUAGAUUUACGCUCAUGUAGUCAUCAAGUGCUUAAGGGCCCUUCUAAUGUUGCAUCCAGUGACAAAAGCCUUUCUAGUGCUUCAAUCAUGCUUCCAACAAUUUUGGUGUCAUCAUGGGUAGUUUUAAGGUUUUAAAGGUAUUUUAGGGUUUUUGCAAUUAUUUCUAACCCUAAUUUUUGUUGCAAGCAUUUUUGGUUCAUUUGGAUUUUUUGAAAAUCCAUUAUUCAGUCUUACCAAAAUCAUGCAGCAAGAUCCCUAAGACUAUGGGAAGCUAAUUUUUGUUAUUUCAUUUUAUUUCCUUAUUUUGCAUUAUGUUGAUUUUGCAUGGAAUUUGGAAUGUAUAAAAUAAUUAAAAAUGGUAAUUUUAUAUAUUCUUAUGGAAAGUAAGGGCUCAUUUAGUUGGCGAUUUUGAAAACUAUUAUGAGAAACAAUUUUUAAGAAGAAUUUUUGGUGUUUUUAGAAACAAAAUUUGCAUUUGGAAAUUGAAUUAUGAAAAAUAGUUUUUGUUCUCGAGAACAACAAACAUAUUUUUGGUUGAGUUAUAAAAAGAGGUAAAACAAAAAACCAAUGUUUUAAAAACCGGACCGGACCGACCGGUCCAACCGUCGACCGGUCACAAUUCCGGUCCGAUCUGCCCUAUUGAACCGUUUAAGAUUUAAAUCGGCCACGAACCGUCGAAACCGGCGGUCGGACCGGUGACUCGAUCGAACCGGACGGUUCUAAUUGAACCUCCAUUUUAAAGGAUCCUUGCAUUAAAAAGCUUUGGCAAAUGCCCAUUCUGGGCCUUGUCUCAUCAUGACAAAGCCCAAACCCCACUCAACCAUAUUGUGGGCUUAGUCUUGAGCCCACCCAGUGAGGCACUGUAUUGGUCUUCAAUGUGGAUAGCAUUUAUAGGCACCCUUUGCAUCCUCAUUUCUCUUAGAAUCUGAUGUGGGAUUCCUAACCAACCUAAUCAAUGAAAAAAAUAAUAACAAGUCCCUCACCCAAGAGGAAUUGAACCUUGGACCCCAGAUUCGGAAGGCAUCCUAGGCACCACUCAACUACACAACUUUUGUUAUCUAAUGUGCUAAACAAAAUAAUAUAUAUUAGACUUUAAAUUUUUUUUGUAAUGUUAAAUAAAAAUAAUAUAAUAUUUUUAAAAAUGAUAAAAUUAGUUUAAAUUUUCAUUUUUAAUAUAUUCACAUUUAAAUAUUUUACAUAUUUCAUUUAACAAAAUUAAAAAUAUUAAUAUGAUUUAAUUUGAUAAUAUUAUUGAUUUUUAAUUUAUUCAUAUAUAUUUUAAAAUUUUUAUAAUUAUUUUUAAUUUUAAUAAUAUAUAAAUUAUAUAUUUAUGAUGUCACCAGUUCAAUAGCGGUUCGACCGCCGGUCUGACCGUCGAUCCGACCAGUGAACCGUGAACCGAUAACUUUUCCGGUUUGAUUACCGGUCCGGUUAUGAAAACAUUGCAAAAAACACGUUUGGAAGUUGUUUCUUUUUUAAAAAAAAAAAAAGAAAAAGAAAAAAACAUUGAGUGUUUUCUUUAACUAACUUGAUAUUAUAAAUAUAUAGAUAAUUCUAAGAAGAGAUCAUGUUUAAAUAAAAAUAAAAAUAAAAAUAAAAACAAAAAAAUUAAAAAAAGACAUUGAAGUUUGAGCUUUCUAAGGAAAAAUGAGUUAUUCAAUGCCAUAUAUUUUGCAUUCCAUGCUCAGUUACUAGAAUCAAUUUGCAUAGAUCAAAUGUACUAAAUGGAUUGUAGGGAUUUUUUCUUUUUCAAUGUUUUAGUUUUCAACAUUUAUGAUUUACUUUUUAUCAAAAACAAAAACAUAGUCAUUAAAAUUAAGAGAUUACAAAAAAAAAAAAAAAAAAUGAGAAAUUCCUCAUUAACUUGUAAAACCAGAUAAAAUAAAAAAUAAAAAAAAAGUUCAACACUUAUUAUUAUCAAAGCAAACACCUUAGUCAAAAAAAGGGAAAACUUCUUAUCUUUUGAAAACCAAAACAACAAAUAAGCCCUAAAACUCAAGAAAAUAUAUGCUUUGUUUUUCCUAUAUUUUCCCCCAUCCAAACAAAGUAUAAUAUAAUUAACUCAUUUCCAACACUAAUCACACAAAGAAACCAUAAAAUUAUUACAAAACUUAAAACAUGUGCAAAAUUGCACGCAAAGCACUUCCUGUUUAACCCUAGUUGAAUGGGUUACAAUAAAAUAAACAUUAAAAAAAAACCAAAAAAAAAUGGAUUUCUAUUGCCCAGAUAAAAAUAUACUAUUUUUUAUUGCUAAAAAAAUAUAAGAAAUAGAACAUGAAAAUAAGCUCCAAAAUGUAUGUUAUUUCUUCUUUCCCUCUGUUUUCUUAGUAACCAAAUAAGGAACUUAUACCACCUAGAGAAAUUGUUUGGUUGCCUAGAAAAUGUAAAAUUAGUAUGAUUCAAAAUGAAAGCUCCAAAAUGCUUCUUUUUCUAGUCUUGCCUGCUUUACUAGAAACCAAACAAACAAUUUGUCAGACCUCAGCUUAAAUCCAUUUUUUCUAAUAAAACACCAAAUUCAAACAUGGAGAAACUAGAGAAGAAAAAAAUCUACCUUCAUGCGAAAUGUAAGAACAAGAAUAAACCCCCAAUCUAUGUUUUUUUUUUUUUGGUCUCCUUACUUUUACCAUAUAUCAAACAAAGAACUUAUCAAACCCCACUAUAUGUCCUUAUAUAAUCCUUUAUAAGCUCAUUGCUUUGCUGCGCUUCUCUUGCUGAUUUCAACAAUGCUCAUUGGCUAUCAAAGCUUGGGACUAAUGAUGCCAGCCAAGUUAAUAAAUCGGACUGCUUCAGAAUGAUGAUAGUGUCAAAGCCUGUUAUAUGCCAAGAAUGAUCGGUUAAUUCACAGUAGUGAAAAUCCAAUGAAUUCUAUUUCUUCUAGUGAGAACAAGAACAACACUUUCUCAUGGAUGUACAAUAUAAAAAGAAAUUGAAACAGAUCACAGAGUGAUAUUUUUUGUAGUAAUAUUUUUUUUUUCUAGAUUAAAACAUUAAGACGUAAUGUAAAAUAGGAAAACUACUCAUGAUAUUUAAUAAAUAAGUAAUUAACACAAAGUAUAUGCACAUCAGCAUUGACAUGCACAUGAAAAUUUGAAUCUGGAUCAUCAUAUUCUUUAGCAACAAGUCUAUCCCAAAAUUGACAUGAAAAUUUGACAUGUUAAAAGAAACUAGAUAACCUUGAAACAAAAAUACCUUCACACAAUAGGUAAAGAGUAAUUUUAUUGUGCCUAAAUACACUUCUUGAUGGAGUCACUGAUAACAUGAAAAUGUAGGUAACCUUAAUUUUGUAAAGUUAAUAAGGCAGGCCAUUGUAUGUCUGAGAAGAAAAUAGAGACUACAUUCUAUGAGAAUAUCAUUUCCAAGGAUAAAUUAAUUAAUAAGAAGUUUCUCUGAUGCUGUAACAAAUAAAUGGUUAUAUAUGAACUUGAGGAACCAUAAGAGCAAGAUCUAGAAAGCCAAUUUGGACAUAGAACCAUCAAACAUGAUCUCUGACUAGAGGUCAUGAUCAAAUGCAUGAGUAUUGGCUUUAACAAUGAUAAAUUACUUUUUCAAAGAGUUAUUGGCAGCUGCACAAGCUCUUGCCUUUUGCAGCACACACAUAACUUUUGGGACGGCACCCUUCUUCUCUCUCUUUCUCUUUUGUAAGUUUGACAUCAAUCAGUGAACGCAUGUAAAAUAGCUUAACUCUCACUUCUAUUUCUGGUUCUAAUUUCUUACUUCAUGAAAUCUGUUGCCUUUAUGCUUAUAAGAUAAAGUUUUGUCCUAGAAUAAUUGAUGAUUCGUGAUUCUUGCAGCAAGUUACGAGGGCACCCAUAUGAAGGAUACGUAAGGUGCAUUAUGGUUAAAAUAAGAAAUUAGGAGACUACUUAAUUCACAUACGGUUCUGGUAAAGGUGUUGAUUAGGAUGGUUCAAUUUUUUGGAAGUCAAUGAGCAAUCAACUACAUUACUUGUAAGAGUUCUUGUCUUCACUACAACUGAAGAAUGCUCUUAUUUUGGUUUCAAGAAAUGGACUUCUAUAAAAUGACAAAAUCAAGGAAUAGUGGACUCAAGGGAUACCAUGAAUCAACCAUGGAAGAAGCUAGUACGUCACACCUUACCUUAUUAUUCUGUCUAAAAUCAAAAUCCUUCUUGGUGAGGGAGGAAUCUGGAUCAUUGUUGCCAUGACUAUUGCUGGACCAGAAGCCUUUCCUUAUUCUCUGCUCUUAUCAUGGCCUCAACAUUUGCAGAAACAUUUAAGGUUACUACAUCCAUGCAUUCAGUUUUGAGGCUGAGAAUUUCUCAUCAGUCCUCAGCAAAGCUCAAAAGAUUCUCUUCCCCAGGAGAUACUUAUUCUGUGAAGAAAAAAGUUCCAGUGGUUAACUAACACAUAGUUGGUCAAUUUGAAAACUAGAGGACAGAUACAGCAGAUUUAUGGUUCAGAUUUAUGAAUUUAGUACUGCAAAGGUAAUAUGCUCACCUCUGGGCCUAGGAUUGUUCCUAACCAUUAUAUGUGUAAGGCAUUCGUGUUGUCUAACUGAAGUGCUAAGCCAAUGUUUAGCACCAUAUGCAUACAUAAGGAUGCCACAGAGAGCAUAUCUCUGGAACUGAACCAUUACCAGCUUUUGAAUGCUCAACCCAUAUAAUCUGAUACAAACAACAAUUACAACAUGUGUUAGUCGUCAUGAACUAAAAAGCACAUCUAUUUAAGAGUUCAUGUUUGAUUUAGGUUGCAUAUCCAUUCACCUUGCAGAGUCCAUCUGGAAGUUGUGCGAUUAUGCAGCCUGAUGGCCUUCUCUGAUAUCAACUACUCCCCAUAUCUCAUUGGUCAGCUGCUUUCUGUAUCUUGCUAAAUAGGAUUCUUGAGUUAGAGCUAAUAAUGAAGACUUUGAGCUUCUGCAGCCAUCAGGAAAGUCAUUAAAUUGAAGAAUUCUUAGAAUGGUUGUUGCAAUUGAACAGACAAAGCAAUCAAAACUCAAUGCAUGACUGAUGGUUUAAUUAUGAACAGAGAAAGGAACACUCCCAAAGUACCUUUCUGUGUUUAUCUUCCUUUACCCUCUCUUUGUCAAACGUGACUAAGAAAUGCUUUCUCUUUGUUAAGUUUGAUAUUCAUUUAUAAAUGAAUAUAAAACAAGUGACGCCUAGCUUAUAUAUCUGGCUGCUCCUAUUGGAGAGGAAUUAAAAACUUGGCUAGAUGCAUGUAGGGAGAAUUUUGCUGCUUCCAAUUGCCUAGGAAGAUAAAAAUAUAUUGGAGGAAUGUAUAUGUAUUGAGGAAAUCAACAUGGGUUUAAGCAGACAAUAGUAUAAGAGAACGCAACUAAGUAAGCUGAUAUGACCAAGAAUGUCGACAACAGAUAUGUGGUGGUAACAUAUAAAACAACAUUUUGAUUAUGUCUUCAUGCAAGGUCUAAAAUGUGAAAGUACUUUUGGAUGACCUCUUAAGGAAGAUGUAAAUCAAAUAUUAAAGAAAAAAAAUAGCUUCAAUCACCUAGAGGAGGAAUCUUCGAUGCCUUAAUUUAAUGACCCUAUGUAGUGAGCAAAUGGUAGACAAAACCAAAUAUUAAUGAUAUUAUAGAAGCCUCUAAAUUAAUUAACUCUUAGAGGCAAAGAUCCAUUUCAUCACACCCAUCAUUAGAAAGAUGUGAAAGUCAGUAAUCAAUAACUUACUCCUUGUUUACUAGGAUUAAGACAACCAAAGAAUGAAAGUUAGUGUAUUUUGUUUAGUUAAUAAUUUUGUUCUAUAUAUUUCUUAUUAGAUGAGACUUACUUCCUUGAGUCUUACCGGUCUUAAGAUGAUUUUGGAUUUAUAAGACUUGAUUUUAGAAUACUUUAAUAAUCAAAUUCAAGGUAAAUAUAAAUUUAUAAAUUGGUAAAAUUUUUGGAAUGACAAUUACAUGUUUUGAAUUGAAAAUAACUUGAAAAAGGAAAAUGGAAUAUUGGAAAGAAGGGGGAGAGCAUUCGAAUGCCUUGAGGAUGGAAUUGAAAUGCCUUGAGGAUGCUUCAAAAUCCAUGAGUAAACGCCCCCAAGGAGUUCAAAUGCCUUUGAAACAGCCCAAGAACCGUUCAAAAAUCCAAGGGGGUGUUCAAACACCCACCUCAAGUGUUCGAAAGAUCAAUGAUGUUUGUAAGUUUCCAAAUUCUAUUUUAAUUCAAAAUAUUAUGUUUUUGGGAUGUCGUAAAAGAUUGGAAACUUUUGUAAUUGGUUACUAGGCGUUUAGAAUGUUUUAUAAUUGGGAAAACCCUUCAUAAUGGGAGUCUAGGGUUUUUCAAAUAUAAAAGGAUUUGUUUUGUUGUUAAUUUGGUGGACUCCAUAGGAACCCUAAGAAAGAGAAAAACCUAAAGAGAAUAAUUUUCAUUUCCAAAGCUUGAUCGUCCGAUUCUCAAACUUUCAAGUUAUUUCUUGAAAGUAAUUUUUGGCUUCAACAAAAGUUAUAAAUCUUAUUGCAAUACUUCGAUAAGGGCUUCAAAGGAUCUAUGAAGAAGCACGAGGGUGCAUUGCAUCAAGGACAUGGAUAAUGUGCACAAGCACUGACAUUAUAAGACCUUAGGAAGUAGGUGCAUCUAGUUAGGUAAAAUUUUGUACCAUUUUCUCAUAGUUAAGGGAUUAUUUAAUGGUUGAGAAACUACUCAUGAUUUUUUAGUUGCUAAGUGGUUUUCUCAUAUUCUAACCUAUGUAUUGUAUAUAAUCAAUUUUAGUUAUCUAUGUAUGAGAUUUUUUUUUCUCACUAAAAGAUUAAUCUAAAGGAACAAACUGAAAGUAGGUAAUAAAAAAAAUUAUUUAGGGAUUAAUUCAAGGGCUACCUAUUCACUCCCCUCUAGGUAAUUUUGUUACAUCAAGACUAGAUGUAAAAAAAUUUCCAAGCAAUAUCAGAGUUUGUAAAAAUUAUUUUGAAAUUUUUUGUUGAUUCCUACUAGUCUUGAUGAAUGGAACCAUAGGAAUUGGAUCUUGCAAGGUGAAAGAGUUUGAAAUACAGUGGCAUAUGGGUGGUUACCCCCACUCUUAGUUGACAAGAAUAAAUUAAAACCCAAGGUAGAGUGGAAUAAAUUGAACAAUGAAGGGAGUGAGGCAAAUGCCAAAGCCUUUAUAUUGUAUUUUCAAUAGAGUCAUUCCAGACAAGUUUUGUAGGAUUGAUUGAUACAUGUAAAUAUGAUAAAGAGGCUUGAGACAUUCUUGCAAUAACAUAUGAGAACACUUCUACCAUGAAGUUGUCAAAAUUGCAAAUGUUAACUACAAAGUUUGAAAGGCCAAAGAUGAAAGAUGAUAAAACAUUCUUUGAGUUUUAUACUAAACUCAAUGAUAUUGUUGACUCAUGUUUCAAUCUAGGAGAAAGAAUUCUUUACUCUAAAAUGGUUAGAGAAAUAGGGAGAGAUUUAGUGCUAAGGUGAUUGCAAUAUAGGAAAGUAAAAAACUAUAUAUGGAUAUAUUGAUGGUAUAUGAACUUGUAGCUUCUUUACAGUCCUAUGAGAUGACUUCCCACCCUUUAGGAGACCUAAACGGGCACCCUAAAGGCUUCAUUUAAAGAAAAAAUUGAGUAUGAAGAUUAGGGUGAAUCAUUUUUUAAUAAACCCAAAAUUUCCUCUUUUGCCAAAAAAUUCAAAAUACUUACAAAAAUGCAAGAGGAGACAAACACAAAAGAUGGUUCAAAGAAAGAGAAAAAUCCCUCCGAGAAAAUAAUGAAAAGGUCCAUCAAAAUCAUCUCAAAUUGAAUGUUUCAAUUGAGAAUAAGGAAAUUAAUAAUCUUAUUGCGUUCACUACCUCAUUACCCCAAUUCCCUAGGAUUGGAUAAAAAAAUCUAGUCGAAUCUAGUGAUGAGGAAGAAGGGAAAUUUGAAGAUCUUCAAGAAGCAUAAAAUACUAUCACAAAAGCUAUGAAAUAAAAUGUAAGAUCGUAAAAAUUUAAAGAAAAAGAAUUCUCACAUACAUUACAUACCUUAUUUUGACUAUGCUCAUCCUGAAAGAGAUCAAAAUCCUACUUGGUUAGGUAGGAAUCUAUGGAUGGUUGUUGCCAUGACUAGUGCUAGACCAGAAGGCUUUCUUUCAUUUUCUUAUUAUGGCCUUAAUGUUUUCAGAACUAUUUAAUGGUACUACAUCCAUGUGUUCUCUUUUGAGCACUGAGAUUGGCCCGAGAAUUUCUAGUCAUGCCUUCAGCAAAGCUCAAAAGAUUCUCUUCCCCAGGAGAUACUUAUUCUGUGAAGAAACAAAGCUCUGGUAGUUAACUAACACAUUGGUCAAUUUGCAAAUUACAGAACAGAUACAGCAGUAAUUUUAGAUCUGUGAAUUUAGUACUGGAAAUAUUGUAAUAUGCUGACCUUUAGGGCUAGGAUUGUUCCUAGCCAUUAUAUAUGUUAGGCGUUCAUGUUGUCUAACUGAAGUGCUAAGCCAAUGUUUAGAACCAUAUGCACACACAUCACCUUGUGAAUGCCCAACCCAUAUAAUCUGAUACAAAUAAUAAUUACAACGUGUGUUAAUUGCCAUGAACUAAAAAGCACAUAUAGUUAAGGGUUCAUGUUUGAUUUAGUCUUAUAUUCAUUCACCUUGUGCAGUUCAUCUGGGAUUGUUUCAUUAUGCAGCCUGAUGGUCUUCUCCGAUGCCAAUCACUCCCCAUACCUCAUUGGUCAACUGCUUACUAAAUAGCAUUCUCCAGUUGAAACCAAUAAUGAAGGGGACAUGAAAUUCUGCAGCCAUCAGCCAAGUCAUUAAACUGAAGAAUUUUUAGAAAAUAAUUACUAUUAUGGUUGUUGCAUGUAAACAGACAAAGCAAUCAAAAUCGAUGCAUGACCGAGAAAAGGGUUCAUAAUUAUGAACAAAAAAAUGGAACACUCCAACCUAUUUCAUCGCAUCCACUGUUAAAAUGAUGUGAAAGUUACUAAUUGAUAACGUACUCAUUGUUGAGUAGGACCAAGACAUAACCAAAGAAUGAAAGUGAAGUUUGAAUUUAUGGUAACGAAUUUUUUGUCUUCAAAUACUUCUAAAAUUGUUGUUAAAGAGAGUUUCCUAAAGGCAAAAGCAAUAUUUGAGUUUGUUGAUGUUAGGUGGGCAAUUUUGUUCCAUUUCUUACAUACUGUGAAGGAUACAUCAUACUUCCAAGGGUCGUACUAGUUCCCAAUCAAGCUCAAUGAUUUUAGAGUUGAUAAUUCUUGAGUCAUGUAUGCAUUUGGUAUUACUAAGGUUUAUGGAAUCCCUAUAAAAGGUUAACUUGUAUAUAUUUGAAGAAAAGCAUGAAAUAUGAAGUUAGGAACACCAGCAUGGGUAAGAUUUUCAAAAGUCCUAAAGGAAUGUUCAAACAUCCCCAAGGAAUAAUCAAAUAUCAAUAGGGCAUUCAAAUGCUAAAGUGUAGAAUGUUCAAACAUUCCAUAUACUGUUUGAAUAUCCCUUUCAAGUGUUCAAAUGUUGGAUUUUUUUUUUCUUUUGUUGUUGCAAUUUUUAUUCCAUUCUUCAUACUAUCGGGGCAUUUUUAUAGAAUAAAGUUAUAACUGUUUUCCAAAUCAAUGCCCUAAGUUUUUGGUAUGAAAACAUAAGUUUAAUAUAUUGAAGAUGAUGUACAAGAGAUUAAUCAUCUUGAUAGCAUUAAGAAGCACUCUAUUUCUCAAUCUUUCAUGACCAAUAUUCUUGAAACAAACCUUUUAGCAAAAUAAAGAUCAAGGAUUCAAGUUGCUAAAUCUCAAUAUGAUUUUUGAGGUGAUCCAAUAAGGGGCAUGGAGUACUACAUCAAGGAUGUGAAAAAAAAAAAAAAAAAGAGUUGAGGCACUAAUAAUAUAAAAUCCCGUAGAAUAGGUGCAUCUGAUUAGAUAAAACCAUGUGUUUUUUUUUUCUCCAAAUUAUUUAGGAGAUUAAUUGCAUUUGAUAGACCAUCCAUGUUUUUUACAUUUGGGGGUUUCUAGGUGAUUUUUCCACAUUACAUCUUGUGUCACUUGUAUGAUUUAAUAUUCUUAUGACUAAUAUAAUACAAUAGCUAUUUAUUGUUCAUAUAUAUGGAAGUAAUUAAAAAUUCUAAUAAAGAUUAUUACUUUGGUGAUAUCUCAUUUUUUGAAAACUAGACCGGACUAACUGGCUUGAUUGUGGUGGACUUUUUGGUCUGAUCCUCUCUAUAAAACUGGGUAGUUGAACCGGCCACAAGCCACCCGAACUAGCAGUUGGAUCGGUGAACCUCCUAGACCGGGUGGUUCCACAUGAACCGAAUGGUUCAAUUCCCAUACUCUUCUUUCAUUAAAUAGGCCCAAUUUAAAACCCAACAUUUCCCUCUUUUUCAUUCUAAGAGGCACAAAUAGAAGCCCAAGUCUUCCAUUAAAUGGUAUUAGAGGCAAAAGCCCAACCCAAACACCACUUAACGACACCUUGAUUUAUAAGGGCCUUUUUUUUUUAUUGUCCACAUCCAAUGUGGGAUUCAUAAUUUUAAGUAUAAGAAAAAUGAAGGAUUUGAACUCUAAACCUCCAAUUAAGCAAAAGACAUGGAUUACCACUUGGCUAUGUACACUUUGUUACUUUAAAUGACAAAUAAAAGAAUGUAUAUGUUUCUAAGAAGAUUUAUAAUAUUAAAUAAAUAUAAUAUAAUAUUUUCUAAAAUUAUAAAAUUAGUUAAAAUUAAAUAAUUAGAUUUUCUUUCAUUUUGAAUAUAUUCAUAUUAAAAUAUUAUACAUAUUUCAUUUAACAAAAUUCAAAAUAUUAAUAUAUUUAUAUUGAAUCAUAAGACAUUAAACUAAAUGUUGGAAACAAAGGAGAUGUCUAAUAUUGUUCUUGUCAUUCUACUUGUACUAUUUAUAGAAUAUAUGUUUUGUCAUUGUUAGCUAUUGCUUAAAUAAUCAAAAUAUUUAAACCACUAAAUGAUAAUAAAAUUAAAACGUCUAACAUAAGUAACAAGGAUAGAGUAAAAAAUAAUCUACAUAUUUAGAAUAGUUACUAAACUUGUCAAUUAACCAACUAAAUAAGGAUAAACUACAAUCCAUAUUAUGUCUCCUAGCUCUCCACUGGUUAUUGCCAUUACAAAAAAAUGUCACCAAAGUGUCAUUGGCACAAUCGGCUCCUAACAGUUAAGUGAAUAUAAUCAAAAUCAAAUAUGUAAAGCAUAUCUAUGAACAUACCUUUUCCGGCUCUGCUCAUUCCAUUGGAUUUCUAUUUGUAAGGAAGAACCUAAAUUGUCAAAUCAAAGAGUAAACACUUAACCUUGUUUACAAAACUAGGAAAUUAUGACAUGAGCUAUAACUUUAAAAAUGAUCUAAGGCCAAGCUAUCAUAGUCUCUAGAAAUCGUAUAAAUGUCAACAUGCAUUAAAACAAUUCCAAAUCUAGGCUUUUUAAUUGAAAUAAACAAGCAUGCAAGUUCUAGCCAUGUGCUAAAAGACUUGAAUUACUGCUAAAUCAAGUCCAUUAAUUAAAAUUAAUCUUUUCAAAAUAUUUUUUUUUUGAAUUUAUGUAUUUUCACUCAAAAUGCAUUCAAUUUUAUUCUUAUUAUAUAUAUAAAGGCACUUUGGUGGACAUAGAGACUCAUACCUCCAGAUGAAGGUGCCAUUUAAAGCAAAAUUGAUGCUUUUAAUAAGAUCUAAAGGUUGUUCACUUCCACCUGAUAAGAGAUAAUAAAAAGAAUUAAUGCUUCCUAAAAAUUGUCAUGACAACCAAUGAAUAGAAUAAAGGCUAAAGAGGAGUGCAAUCUACAUAAUAUUGAUAAAAGAGAAAUUUGUUUCCACAAGAAAAUUAGAAAGAAUUAAUGCUUCCUAAAAAUUGUCAUGACAACCAAUGAAUAGAAUAAAGGGUAAAGAGGAGUGCAAUCUACAUAAUACUGAUAGAAGAGAAAUUUGUCUCCACAAGAAAAUUAUACAAAAUUAUAGUAAUUUCAUAACAAAGUUAAUCACCAAAUAUUAUUAGCUCAUGAUAAACAAUGGUUUUGUGUAAUGUUUCAAACUUUUACUAAUAAAAUAAAAUGCUCACCCAAAACUUGAAUCAAAAGAAGUAGAAUGCCCAACAUCUAAGAUCAUUCCUUGUUGUAAGUUGAAGUAUUUGAAUGUGCAAGGGUUGUGUAAUUAAUGUAUGUAUAUCAUUACAUUACACAAAAAUAAUUUAUAGAAUUAACCAAUAUUAAAUAAAAGCAUGGAUGAUAAAAAUAAUAAAAAUAUGCUUCCAUAUAGAAAAUAUAUAAAUAAAAACUGCAUCAAUAAGCUAAUAAAAACAAAAACAUAAAUCUCAAUAUAAAUAAAAUAAAGAAAUGAGAACACAUAUAAAUAUGAUUUGGUUCACUACACUGGCGGGCCAGAUGGGACAUAGAAUUGAACCUCCUACCUUAGUUUUAAAAGAGAAAUACACCAACUGAUGGGCUAAACAUUACUUUCAGGUUUUUUUUGCUCCCCUUGAAAUUAACCUCUAUCCUAUUACCCCUUGCAUCCUAUUCCUAACUUCAUCCUUGCUUUACUAUAUUAUCAUUUUAUUUUUUCAAAACUAAAAUAAAUAAAAUAAAUUCAAUAUAAAACAAUAUUUAAAAUUAUAAAUGUCAAAUUUAAACCAUUCUAUAAAGUAAAAAACCAAACCUUUCUUAAGUAAUUGGCUAGUCAAUAGUUAAAGAAUUUCUAUAGAACGGAACUAUAAGAAUGACAUAGAUUUGGAGAUGUUUGUAAUGUUUUUAGUUGUGUUGGAGGAGAAAAGUAGUUCACAUGUAUUUAAGAAAAAUUUAAUUAAUUUGAUAAAAUUAAGAGGGAUGACAUAAAAUUUCAAGAUAAGUCAAAUACAAGGAAUAUCUUUCUAAUUAAAACAAUUUAAAAUGAAAGAAUUAUAUAUAAAUUAUAGUAAUAUGUGGGAACCAUGAAUAAAUGGUGUCCCAGUAGAUUUUUGUUUCCUUGAAGAAACCAAACUUGUUUACUUCACAUUUCUAGAAGGCCAAUUCAUAAUACUUCAUAGAUAUGGAUGUGCAUGCUACAUAUGUGUAGAAAUAUAGGCAUUAUGUGCAUAGCAAUGGUUGUCAAAUGUGCAUAGUAGCAUAGGAGAUAUAUUUGCAAGAAUACAAGUCAACAGAAUGGAGCACCCAAAGUUAAGUUAGUACCCCUCAUAGACCACCUCAAUGGACAUUUCAUUAGCUUGCAUUCUCUAGCCAUUGGUCUUAAUAACUAUGACAAUUUUUGCAAAUGAUCUAACAACACAAAACUAUACCAUGAUUAAACUUGCAUGGCACAUCAUUCAAAUACUCAUCUUAUCAAGCCAUUGUGUGGCCUUCUCAAUGAUUAUGGAAAAAUCAAACAUGUUUGAUUGAAAUAUUCUUAUAAAUGCAACUUGUCUCUUUAUUGAUUAAGUUAAUAAGCCAUUGAAUCACAAAAACGUCCCAUUGAAGUGUGUUUAUUCCUAUAAAAUUGUUAUUUAAAUUUUUUAUUUUGGAUUUUUUUUUAUUUUUCAUAAUAUCUCAAUUAUGAAAUUUCAAUCUCUGAAGUGUAAUCCUAACUAUUAGUUGUCUCAUUUAUUUUUAUUUUUUAUUAUUUUAAUUCACUAUUAAUUUACAUUCUUGGUUUGUCAGUCACUUCUCCAAACUGGUAUGAAUUUAUAAAUUUUAUUCUCUAUUAUUUUUCAUUAUAAAUACUUGGAACAAUUAAAUUUUGAAAUAAUUUUAAAAGUGUUUAAAAUAUAUUCCCUAUUUUUGUUUAUUUUUAAUAAUUUCACCGCCAUAAACAAUUCUUACACUCAAAAAAAUUUCAUUUAGACAAAAAAGUUGUUAAGAAUUUUUUUUUUUUAAUAUUAUUCCUAGCUUGAAGAAAAUGAAUUAAAAUUUAAAUCUAUUGUUAGUGAAUUAGAUUGUCUAGUUUAAGUUGAUAAUUAUGUUUUAUUCAACCCACCUUAAGACUUAUAUUUUCCUAUCAUAAAGGUAUAAAGAGCUAUGAAAAAGUUAAUGACUUCAAACAAGCAACAUAAUGUGGACUUUAGUGAAUAUUAGGUUGAGGAUUUUGUUAAUUUAAUUAGAAAAAUUUAAGAUCAGACACUCAAAUGCUCAAAUCUAGUGCUCAAACUCUAUGCUAGAGCGCUGACAAGGGGUGCUCAAGCAUUGAAAUCACUUAAGUGCACUUAUAUAGUGCUCGAGUGUUCGAUGGUUAGUUUUCCAUAAAUUAAGUUUGCAAAAUUUUAAUUUUCCUUUUUUAAAAAAAAAUGGAAUUUAAAAAGUUAGGAUUAAUAGUCCACUACAUUUCAUUCCUAUAUACAUAUUAUGCCUGAAAAAUCAAGUUUCUCUAAUGCACAUAAAAGAUAAAAAGUCAUUAUCCUUUUUGUAUCCCAAAACUCUUAAAACUAUUUAGGAUUUAUUCUUUGGUUUGUGAGAGAGAUUUCCAUCCCUUCAAGGUAUCAAAGAGUUUACUUGGAAGUCAAUGGUGUUGCAUCAUGAAUGUGAGAUCAAGUGUAGAUUCUAGGGUGCAAGUCUUUAGGAUAAUUUUAUGGUCUGUGUACCUUUUCUUUGAAAUAGUGGAUGAUAACUUUGUGGUCUCAAUCCAAUGGUUUUUAUAUCCACAAAUCUCUAAGAGGCCUUAUGAGUAAUUUUCCACAUUAAUUAUUCAUCUUUGUGAGCGAUUGAAAUUUUUGAUUGAUUGAUUGAUUAAUUGUUCAAUUCAUUAAAAGAAUUUAUAGAAACAAAAAUUGGUAAGCUUUGGGCUAUAAUAAAAAGGAAUACUUAUUCAACCCCCUUCUAGGUAGUUUCAUAAUUGAAAUCACAAAUUUUGAAUUGGUAUCAAAGUAGGAAAAUUUUAAUUAUCAAUUUUUAUUUUUAUUUUCUAUUAUGCUAUGAUCUUAGAUUAUGGAACCACAAAGGUUUGGAUCAUCCAUAAACCAUCUACCUUAUUUUGAUGGCAACAACUAUCCUCACUAGAAGGCUUGUAUAUAAUUGUUUUGAAAAUAGAGGGGAAAUUGUAUGGAAUUCAGUAGAAUUUGGAUGGAGGGCCCCAUUAAAAUUAGAUGGAACAUGUAGAUCCACAAAUAAACUCAAGCCUAAGCAAGAUUGCGACAAAUUAGACAAGGAGGGUAGUGAAGAUAAUGCUUGGGGCUUCUAUAGCAUAUUCAAUGAGGUGAGUCUAAACUAGUUUUGCACAAUAGUCACAUGCAGAAAUAUAGCCUAGAACUCGAUUAACAAUAUGAGAGGACCAUCCAUAUGCUAUGAACGAUCAUAUUGCUCACCAAUAUGAGCAUGCAUAUGCCUUACAAAUCAUUGAUGCAAAUAUCCAAGUGAAAGCACUACUAAUUAAUAGAAAACAACACAUAGUUAAUAGAUGACCCAUCAAUGGGCUUUAAAGGCCCUACAAUCACACGAGAAGAGCUCACAUGCUAUCUGCAACCCCCAUAACCUUGGGUGAGUGGAACUAGUCAACCGCCCCUACUUAACAACUUUAAUCUCAUAUUUUUCAUUAGCGAGAGAGCCAACCAUCACACCUCAAGUGUGGCUCACUUGCUUGGACCAUGAGCUCUAGUUAAUUAGAGCACACUAGCCAAGUAUCAAAAACUCUUGUUGAAUGUUGUCUAGGAAAUGAAUAGAGCAAAUGGAAGGCUUCUAAAGCGAGAAUGCUUGUCAUAAAUGGCCAUGGCAUAAAAAAAAUCAUUUGCACAAUAUCUAUGAGCUUGCCAAACAAAAACAAUGGAUAAACCAUAUAGUAAAACAAUGGAUUUGUGUAGGUGAGAAGAUGGCUAGAAUGUAUUGGUUGCAAACACAACCAUAACCCAAGUUAGAUUAAUAGAGCUAACUAGAUAAAUGUAUAUAGGAUGGUCAUGAGGCUCUCCAAACAAACUCAUAAGAAAAUUUAAAAAAAUGCAAGAUAGUUUUCACUUUGACCAUACAUGUUAUCUUCAUGGUUUAAGGAUUCACUAUCACUUGAGUCUAUGCCAUUCCUAAAAAAUGGGUAUUGCUUAAAUACCACUUGAAUAAUUACCAAAAGUCCAAUAGGGAACACUCUGAUGGAGGGUCAAUGGGUGAUUUAAAAAAAUCAAUAAAUAUUUAAAAAUUAUAACCAACUUUUUAUCCUAAGAUAUAUCUAGGAUGUCUCAAAUAAGUAAAUGGUUUUAUACCUAGAAUCCUAAGGUAUAUAAAAUAUGAUUUUUAACUUUUAGGAAUACCCUGCAAAUUGUUAGGGAUAAUAUAAUUGUCAAUAUCUGAAAUAUCUAUUGAGAUAUGUUAAGAAUAAUAAGACCAUCUAAAAUAACCAACUUAACAAACUCAAUAACAUCCUAACAAAUCAAUCAAAAGAUAUCUUGAGAGAAGUUAGAGAUAGCAAUAAUUGAUAUUCAUAAAAAUAAAUAUGAACCUUUUAGGAUUGCCUUGCAAAAUAUUAGGUGUAAUUAAUUUAACCUGUUGUAGGCAAUUCAAAUAGAAUAUAAAAUAUAUAGAUAAUGAGGCAUUAGAUUUUUUAUGUGGAAAACCCCCACAAAUAAUGGAGAUAAAAAAUCACAAGGUCUAAGACCUAUUAAUCAAAAUCCAUUAUUUGAAAUCAAGUCAUACAAAUUUACCUGGCUUCUUUACUCUUUAGUGCCUACAACUUGAUCCACGUUUGCAACGCAAGAACUACCUGUUGCUCCUUAGUAGAUCCUUUAGUCCCUCCAAAAGGAUUAUGGUCUUCAACCAAUAAUUCAAAUAAUUGAAUCCUUGAAUGAGAGAAUGGGAAUGGUGUGACAAAUUAGGCUUUCUCCUCAAAGAGUACCUUUAAAGAAUAAUAGGUCUCCCAAAAUUCUCUAAGAUCUCUAUGAUCUUUCUAAUCUCCGAUCUUUAUCCCUAAAAGGGUUACAAGGGAGGUAUUCAGGCAAAAGCCAUAAGGAUUUCAGUAUCUCAAGUUUCCUAAUUGGAGUUUGAAUUAAAUUUUUCCAAAAAUAUGUUUCUAAACUCGGUAGGACUGUCAUGACCGUUUGAGCGAACUUAGACCACUAGAGCGGUUUUUACCACUUGAGCGGUUCCUAUCGCUUGAGUGGGCGAACCACUUGAGCAGGGUUAACUGCUUGAGUGACCCUUACUUCUUUUCAAAAAAACAUUUUAAGUCCAAAAAUGAUACCAAACCUUUUAUACCUUAAAUAAAUCUUAUAUGCCAUAAGCCAAACCUUUUUAAACUUAUAUGUGACUUCCUGGUUAGACAAAUAACAACCCUUAAUCUUCAAUGGAGAGCAAGUCACUAUUUAAAAAGACUUCUAUGGCCAAACAUAAAUUGGAACAAAAUUGCCAACAUAUAAACAAGAUUUAAUGUCCUAACAACUCUAAAUGACCUAUAUGAUCUAUUUAAUAUUCUUAAGACAAGAAGUUAAAGAUGGAAUUAACAAUAUCACUUAGUUCUAAAUAGAAGUUAGGGAAAGUCUCAUCCUCUUAAAUUCUUAUACUCUUAAAUUUUGCAAUGAGCAAAUUAAGGAGAAUUUUAGUACUUAAUUAUAAUUGUAGAAUAUUGUAACUAUCAAAAGUUAACUCUACACCUAGACAAGUAAAUAGGAUGAAUAUAAUCUUAUCAAAGAUAUUCAUUAUCUAAUCACAUCAAUAGUAUUCAUUGAAAUUUGGUGUGCCGGUGAUUUUCUCUUAUUGAUCAAUUUUCCAUGAGAAAAAAAGUUAUAAACAUUAAUGUUACUUUGACUUUUAACGUUUUUUGAACCCAUUUCUAGAAGUCUUUUAAGUUCCUUUCAUUUGAUAAGAGCAAUCAAAUUAAAGAAAGAGGUCACACAACUUCUUAGAAUAUGCAAAAGGAUAAGCUUGAUCCAUAAUCAAUGGAGUUAACGUAAUAACAACUUUAAAUAAAAUAGUUAAUCAAUUUUCUAAAAAUAAUGCUUAUAAAACAGUUAAUUCAUAAAAAGAAUUCAAAUAAAAGUAUUUCACAAAAAUUGAUUUUGAUGAUUUGAUCAAAUUCCUUUUUCUUAAAAUAAUUUUUGUAUAAAUACAUAAAAUAAAAAAAAUUGUUUUCCAUGCCAAGGUGUAGCCAAAACCCCAUCUUGUGACAAAUGUGUGUAGAUAAAUUUUUUUUGAGUCCUUAAUUAUUAUUAUAGUAACAUGAAAAUAGAAUAAAAAUAAUUCAAAUUUAUUUAUUUAUUUAUUUUUUAAGAAAUGCAUGACUACAAUUCUCCUCGAUAAAUUCUCUUCAAAUUUAUUGGUUAAAAAAAAUGCAUGGGUAGAAAUAUAAUAAGAUGAAUCUUUUAAAAAGGAUAUCAUUUGUUAUAUUGUCUUGAUUUCAUUUAAGAGGAGAAUAAUGUCUUUUGAAAUUUUGAAUAAAGGUAAAAGGGGAACACCCUUCUAAAUAUUGAAAUAAUUGUACAUAUUUUGCACUAGUUAUUUUUUCAAUAACUAACUUUGUUAAGUAGAGUUCAAAUUAAGGCUUGUGGAAUUUUUUGAGUAGACUCUUAGGAUUCCUUUGCUUUUUUCAAACGUCCUUGAACUGAAAAAGGACACCCUAUUUACAAGGAAUUUAAUUCUUGUAUUCUGUCCAUAAGAAAAUCUAUCACUUUUAAUUUUCUUUGACUUUAAUUUGAUUUGAUUUAAUUUUUAUUUUAUUUUAUUAUUAUUUUAUUUUUUUUGUAAAAUGUAAUUUUGUAUUCACAAAAUUUUUAUGACACGCCACUUGUAUAAAUUAUAAGACUUCAUGAGUUGGUUAGUAUUAUAUACAUGAGUUGGUUAAUUAGUAGUAUAUAAUGCAAAACUGCAUUAAAAUUUUAAUAUUUAUUAUUAAUAAAGGUAAGUUUGGAAGAAACAUUUACUAACUUCUAGUCUAAGAAUUAUUUAAAUGAUUUACUAUAUCUUGAUCACUUAAUUUUUUGUGAGAAUUGGAUGAAAAUACUUUAACUUUCGAAUGAUUGCUUUCUAGUAAGUUUUAUGUAUAUAUUUUUAAUUUUUUUUUACAAAUAAAAUGUUAUUUGAUGGAAUGAAAGAUACUUGAUGGAAUAAGAGGCUCGUGGUUUAAGGCAUGAAUACAAUGAGUGAAGAAAUAUGAGAUGUUUUGGAAACCUAAUAAUUGUAUUUAUUUUUAUUCUAUAAUAUUGUCUUUGAUAAAGUGGAAUGAUUAUCUCUCAUAUGUGGUGUAGACAUGGUUUGUUCAAUCACAUUAAAAUCCUACUUACCUUUCUAUGAAUUGUCUUAUUUUUUUGGUCUUGAACUAAAAUUGUUUGCAAUAAAACUUCUAUUGGCACAACAAGAAGAAAAGUCGGAUGCUGGGGAUAUGCAAAAGGAGAAGUUUGACCCAUGCUCAAUGUGGUAAACAUUGAAAUUGUUUACUAGUUUCCAACUUAAGUGUUUGUUAUUUCAAUAUGAAACUAAAGAUGAUAUAGAGAUAGAAAAUAAUAAAGUUGUAAAGAGAGAUUGUCUUGAUCUAUUUCACAAUUCAAUUGAGGUAGGCAAAGAGAGGUUAAUUUGUUGUUCCAAUGGUUUGGUCCAACACUUAGAGGAUAAUGAUGAAAAUUCUAAUUUUAAUGAUAAAAGGUGGGUGACUUCUUUGGAAGACACAUAAAGUACAAUUGCCUUCAAAAAUUGUUAAUCAAACCACACACAUGAACAAAAAUAAAGAAAAUAUAAGUUAUUUUUAACAUAAUUUGAUAAUUGAUAUGAUCUUAUGUUCAUAUAGUUUACUAACAUUUGAGAAUCCACUAUUCAAAUAAAGUUGAAAAGUUACCGUGGUGAAAAGUUCUCUCACUCCUCUUAAUUGCUAUGACACAUUUUCUUUUCAAAAUAAAACCUUAAAUCAUAAAAAGAUUAAAGUACAUAGUAGGCAAAUUCGUUAUUAAUUAAAUAAAAAAUCUAUUUAUCACUCAUAAUCAUUUCUUUUUAGUUCUCUUUCUCAUGUUGUUUAUUGUUCACAAUCAUCUCUCUUGAUAAAAAUAUGAUUCUUAUCACAUUAAGAUAUAGAUCUUGAAAUUAAUGCUAGUACAGUUUUGGAUUUAAUUUCAUGGUUGGUUUGAUUAGUUGAAGACUAAAAAUCCCAUACAUUUUGUAAGUCGACUCAAAGGUUUUAUAAAGUAAUGAGAUAAGCUAUUAGCGCAGCUUCAUAAUUAAUUAUAAAAAUGCUUAAAAAGUUUUGAAAAUAGAAAAAUCGAUAUUUUUUUAAUUUUAUUACUAUGAUGUAAAAUUAAAAACAAAAAUAGAUCACCAAACGUAGUUCCUCGAAAAAUUGAGAAGUCCUUAUUUUAGUAAAACAAAAAUAAAAGAAAACACGUACACACAUAUUAAUAAUAAUAAUAAAUUCCACUACCUCUCAACACCUGCAAGUAUUGAGAUGACCAUAAGCUAUAUGUAACAUCAGAAUAGAAAUUUAGGAAGUGCUUCAUACAUAUGGAUACCAAAUGAACCAAAUUGAUCAACGAUGUUACGGAGGCCCUGGGCUGCAAUAGUGUGCAGGUCUCACUUGGGCCGUCGAUGUUGGGAGGAAGCAUCCUGGACUAGGACUUGAAGGAUUUGGAUACACUUGCGAACUUGGCGAAGGUAGCUGUUUCGGUGGUUUGUCCAAAAAAUAAAUAUCAUAAAAUUAAUAUGCUUAAUAUUGUUAGGCUUUUAUUGAAAGGGGAAUCGUGUUACCAUGCACCAACCCCAAAAAAUUUGACUUUUUAAACCUUUAUUUUUAAUUUUUUAAUUUAAGUGUCAAAUAGAAAAAAAGAUCCCCUUUUAUACACCCAAUGAGUAAUUUUCCAAAAUUAUCCUAUCUAUUUUUUUUUUUUUUCUUUUUAUUUCUCCCAAACCGUCCGCCUCUCCCUCCCUCCCCACUUAAACUGGCCGGCACUUCGCCGGCGUCAUUAUCGGCCGCCACUCACACCUCUCUCCGGUCUCCAAUCUCCCUCUCUCUCCCUUUCUCGUCCCUCUUUCUCUCUCUUUCCUUCCCUUUUCACAUCACCACCGCCACCACUACCAGCGACCCACUGCUUGCCUCUCAUCGACGGCAAAACCGGGCUGCACUUUGUCGGCGUCAUAAGCGGCCGCAGCUCACAGCUCUCACCGGCCGGCAACCUCAUCCUCUCUUCUUUUCCUUUCCCUAUUUCUUUCUCUUUCCUUCGCUUUUCACAUCACCAUCGCCACUGCCAACGACCCACGGCUGCUGCCACGUCUCACCCGUGGCGACUAGUGCCGCCCAGUCGCUGCUCGUGAGAGGCCGCAGCAGCAGCAGUGGGUCGUUGGCAGUGGUAGCGGUGGUGAUGUGGAAAGGGAACGAAAGUGAAAGAAAUAGGGAGGGGAAAGGGAGAGAGAAAGAGAGGGAGGUUGCCGGCCGAAGGGGAUUGUGAGCAGCAGCCGGCCAUGCACUGGUGAUGGCGCUGACAGUAGUGGCAGUGGUGAUGUCGAAAAAGGGAAGGAAAAAAGAGAGGAAGAGAGAGAAAUAGAGAGAUGCGAGAGAGAGGGAAAAUCUCUGUCGGAGAGAGCUGUGCGGCCGUCAAUGAUGACGCCGACAAGGUGACACUGACAGCAGAUUAUGGUGUAGUGGGAGAGGCGGGUGGGUAAUUUUGGAAAAAAACUUAGAAUUACUGUUUGAGUGUAUGAAAGGAUAAUUUGUAUUUUCAUUUUGCACUUAAAUUGAAAAGUCAAAAAUAAAAAUUAAAAAAUUGAGAUCUUUGGGGAUUGGUGUAUGGUAACAUGAUUCCUCCCUUAUUGAAUAGCAUAAACAAACUUACAGGAGAGGAAUCGCCUACGAAUGCUCUUUUGCAGUUACAUACCACCAACAUCUCAGGCAGAAUGAAUAAUACGACGCAAAUGAUGAGGAAUGCCUUGCCAACAGCCAUCUCUUGUGCUUUCUUAAUCACCUACUUAUGCUAAUACGAAAACGAGAAUACCACCCCAGCCCAUAUUUAUAGCAACGUUCGAGCCUACCUCUUCAAACUAACCCCACUACUUGAAUUGGAAGCCAUGAAGCAAUUUCCAGUUUUCAAACUAGAAUAUUUGACAACAAUUAAUUCACUAUUGAGACCUUCCUCGUAAUUAAUAUUUGGUUGGUUUGGUGAUAAAAUAUUAUUAAGAAUAAUUUUAAAUAAUCUUCGUACUAUUUAUUUUACUAGUUUUUUAAAAAAUUAUGUGAUUUCAUGUGUCAUUUACAUUUAUAUUUUUCAUAACUAUUUUUUUGCUUUAUUGAACACAUCUUUUAACCUUUUUUUUAAUAUAUAUAUUUAUUGGAAAUUAUUAAUUUUUUGAUAAAAUUUAAAAUUAAGGAGAAUUUUAGUACUUAAUGAUAAUUGUAGAAUAUUGUAACUAUCAAAAGUUAACUCUACACCUAGACAAGUAAAUAGUAUGAAUAUAAUCUUAUCAAAGGUAUUCAUUAUCUAAUCACAUCAAUAGUAUUCAUUCAAAUUUGGUGUGCCGCAUGAUUUUCUCUUAUUGAUCAAUUUUCCAUGAGAAAAAAAGUUAUGUUACUUUGACUUUUGAUGUUUUUUGAACCCAUUUCUAGGAGUCUUUUAAGGUCCUUUCAUUUGAUAAGAGCAAUCAAAUUAAAAAAAGAGGUCACCCAACUUCUUAAAAUAUGCAAAAGGAUAAGCUUGAUCCAUAAUCAAUGGAGUUAACGUAAUAUCAAUUUUAAAUAAAAUAGUUAAUCAAUUUUCUAAAAAUAAUGCUUAUAAAACGGCUAGUUCAUAAAAAGAAUGCAAAUAAAAGUAUUUCACAAAAAUUGAUUUUGAUGAUUUAACCAAAUUCCUUUUUCUUAAAAUAAAUUUUGUAUAAAUACAUAAAAAAAAAAAAAAUUGUUUUCCGUGCCAAGGUGCAGCCAAAACCCCAUCUUGUGACAAAUGUGUGUGUAGAUAAUUCUUUUUUUUUGAGUCCUUAAUUAUUAUUAUAAGAACAUGAAAAUAGAAUAAAAAUAAUUCAAAUUUUUUUUGUUUUUUUUCUUUUUUUAAGAAAUGUAUGACUACAAUUCUCCUUGAUAAAUUCUCUUCAAAUUUAUUGGUUAAAAAAAAAUGCAUGGGUAGACAUAUAAUAAGAUGAAUCUUUUAAAAAGGAUAUAAUUUGUUAUAUGGUCUUGAUUUCAUUUUAGAGGAGAAUAAUGUCUUUUGAAAUUUUGAAUAAAGGUAAAAGGGAACACCCUUCUAAAUACCGAAAUAAUUGUACUUAUUUUGCACUAGUUAUUUUUUCAAUGACUAACUUUGUUAGUAGAGUUCAAAUUAAGGCUUGUGGAAUUUCUUGAGUAGACUCUUAGGAUUCCUUUGCUGUUUUCAAAUGUUCCUGAAUUGAAAGAGGAGGCCCUAUUUAUGAGAAUAAUCAUAAUUCAAUUUGGUCUUGAAAUAUUUGAUUUACAAGGAAUUUAAUUCUUGUAUUCUGUCCAUAAGAAAAUCUAUCACUUUUAUUUUUCUUUGACUUUAAUUUGAUUUGAUUUAAUUUUUUAUUUUUUAUUUUGUAAAAUGUAAUUUUGUAUUCACAAAAUUUUUUUGACACGUCACUUGUAUAAAUUAUAAGACUUCAUGAGUUGGUUAGUAUUAUAUAAUGCAAAAUUGCAUUAAAAUUUUAAUAUUUAUUAUUAAUAAAGAUAAGUUUGGAAGAAACAUUUACUAACUUCUAGUCUAAGAAUUAUUUAAAUGAUUUACUAUAUUCUGAUCACUUAAUUUUUUAUGAGAAUUGGAUGAAAAUACUUUAACUUUCUAAUGAAUGCUUUCUAGUAAGUUUUAUGUACAUAUUAAAUUUUUUUUUUUUGACAAAUAAAAUGUUAUAUAGAAGUGUUAUUUUUGUUAUAAAUUAAAUUGAAGCAUCAAUUCAUAUUCAUAGUUACUUGAAGACUUUUUAUUUAUUUAUUUAUUUAUUCCUCAUUUUUCAAGCAAUUUUAAAUAUAAAAAAAUUAUAAAAAUGAACAUUACUCAUAUGAGGGCUUAUUAAUUUGAUUUUGAAGUUGAAUUAUCAAUUUUCCCCCCAAUGCUAUUUUAAUUAAUAGUGGUGUGAUCAUUGGAACUUGGUGUUCUUAUUCUAUCAUUGCUUAGGUUGGCUUAAUGAAGUAUAAAUAACUAUUUGGAACUUGGCAUUAAAUUAUUCAUUAUUUUAAUUUUUGUUUUUUUGUGAUGAUAUAAUUUUUUUUAAGAAGUAUUAAUUUUGUUAAAAACUUAAUAGAUUUUGGAAUUUCAAUAUAUGAUACAAAAAUCGUAACUUAGUAAAAGAGAUUCAAAUAAUAGGGUGAUAUUUGAUAAAAGUGAAAAUUAAGGGAAAUUUUAGUAUUUAAUUAUAGGUGUAGAAUAUUAUAACUAUCAAAAGUUAUUAACUCUACAUCUAGACAAGUAAAUAGUAUGAAUAUAAUCUUUUCAAAGGUAUUCAUUAUCUAAUCACAUCAAUAGUAUUCAUUCAAAUUUGAUGUGCAAUUUUCCAUGAGAAAAAAAGUUAUGAAUAUUAAUGUUACUUUGACUUUUGUUGUUUCUUUGGAUUCAUUUGUUGAAGUCUCUUAAGGCCCACACGCUAAGGAAAAAGUAAUUAGAUUAAAGGAGGACAAUUUCUUAGAAUAUGUAAAAGGAUAAGCUUGACCUAUAGUCAAUGGAGUUAACCUAAUAUUAAUUUAAUCUUAGGACUUUUAUGCUGAACUUGUCCACCACUCGACCCAGAUCAUGUGAUAUCUCAAACGGGUCCUCUAUGCAAAUCAAAUGCCGGUCGUUCCCUUUUCUCCUUGUCCAGUCCUUCUCUCGCUUGCUGUGCAAAUAAACAUGGCAAUGACCAGUUGCUCAACCAUAAAGAGAGGUCUCAGUUAAAGGUUUUGUUUCAAUUAAAUUUGGAUGUUAUGCUGGUGAGCCGGUCAAAGCUGAUUCAUAUCAUGUGUGUGGACUCUCCAUCCUCCAAUGAAAAUCUUAUUUCAAGCAAGAUAAAGUUUGAUGCCAAAAUGGAAAUCUAGAGCCUUGGCCAAGAGUGUAAUAUAUCCUAUUCAGAUACAAGUAUCCAAUGUCACAUAAUUUAAGGAGCUUACUAACCCCGCUUGCUUCUGAAAAACACAGAAUGCAUAAACAAGGGAAUGACGGAUAGUGAUGUAUCCUUCCAAACAACAGAACACUUCUUUGCCCUAAUAAACUGCAACAUGCAAUUUGGUACUGGCACUAAAUUCCCACCAAAUUAGGGCAAUUCUUAGUUCAUGACAAAACCUAAAAGUUCUUUUCUAAACUCCUGUGUGUCAAAUUGUGAUUGAGAAGCUACCAGAAAAAGAGUCAACAACAAAAAAAUUAUUUUUGAUACUCAAAUUUAUGAUAGAAUUACCUACAACAAAUCUCUUGAGUGCUCAAGUGGUCCACCAGUGCUUUUAGGGACUGUACCUUAGGUACUACCUUAGUGGCCUUAGGUACUACCUUAGUGGCCUUCAGGUACUACCUUAGUGGCUUUAGGUACUACCUUAAGGGCCCUUAGGUACUACCUUAGCUAAACCUCAACUCAACCUCUCCCAAGCCUUCGGCCUUCCUCUCUGACCCUUAGACCAUGCCAUUGUGUGGUUCUCUUAAGUGCUCAAGUGGUCCACCAAUGCUUUUUAGGGACUGUACCUUAGGUACUACCUUAAGAGCCCUUAGGUACUACCUUAGUGGCUUUCAGCUGCUACCUUAAGGGACCCUAGGUACUACCUUAGCUAAACCUCAACUCAACCUCUCUCAAGCCUCGGGCCUUCCUCUCUUACCCUUCCACCAUCCCAUUAUGUGUUUCUCUUGAGUGCUCAAGUGAUCUACAAGUGCUUUUUAGGGACUGUACCUUAGGUACUACCUCAGUGGCUUUCAGGUACUACCUUAGUGGCCUUCAGGUACUACCUUAACUAAACCUCAACUCAACCUCUCCUAAGCCUCCGGUCUUCCUUUCUGACCCUUAGACCAUGCCAUUGUGUGGUUCUCUUGAGUGCUCGAGUGGUCCACCAAUGCUUUUUAGGGACUGUACCUUAGGUACUACCUUAGCUAAAGUUGGGGUCUACCUUAGAUGGAAGAGAAGUGAUGAAAGUUCAGCAGCUGCCAAACCAAAGUUUGAACUUCCAAUUCAUGCUCAACAUUUCUUCCAAAUUAUUUCAUAUCCAUAUGUAAUAUCUUUCUUUGUUGGCUUCUUUAUAGCAUGUCUUAUGCAUAUUGUAAUAUUUAGCUUAACAUAGGUGCUACAAAUGUGUUAUGAAUAUCAAUGUGUAGUACUAUAUUUGUCGUAGUGCGAACAAGGACCUCUGUGAUUAUUAUUAUCAGCUUUGUUAAACUGAAAAUGCUAACUCAACCAUUUUGCACAUAACACAUUGUGAUAUUGAUGCUCAUAAUUUUCUUGGAACAACCAAACUAAGAGAAAAGUCCCUUUGGGGGAUUUUCUCUUCUUUCCCCGUCCUUUGCUCGGAACUCGACAGAGCAUUGAAGAUAGAUAUACAUGAUCUUUAGAAUGCAGCUCCAAUUUUGUGAUGAAAAUGUUUCACACCUCAGUUCUAUCUAGUAUUUACAACACUUAUUUAGUGAUUGUUCUAUGAAAUAUUUAAGUGUUAAGUAGCCUCUAUAUCUUUCAUCUGGAUAUGUCAGAAUGUUGUGAGAUCAUUAUCACCUACAGUUAAAAAAAUGCAUCUUCUUUUACAUUAGAAUAUCUUUUGAUAUGGGACUUUUUAAUCAUGUCAUGUCAUGAAAUGCUUUGAUAAACUGUCAACUUGUAUCCUUGUAUUCAUACCAUUGAACAUUGGACCAGUAAAUAACAAGUUUGUUUUCUCUCUCUCUUUUAUUUCCUUUUCUUCAUCAGAGAAUUAGUAAGCGCACCGAAGAGCUGCAAAGUGGAGCACAAGACUUUGCAUAAUUGGCAAACGAGCUUGUCAAGGCAAUGGAAGGGCGAAAAUGGUAUCAGAUAUGAAAUCGGGUUGGCAUAUUCUGCAUGGGCUUAUGGUUCAUGGUAUAGUGUAAUUUGUUCUGUUUUGGGGUCAAGAGGGGAUUCCUUGGGUUACCUAUAACACAUGAUUUACGUUUCUGUGGAUAACGGAUGAUGAAAUCCACUCCAGGAUGCUGUACAGUUCAACCAGCUGCAGAUCCUUGUAAUUGGAUGUGUUUUAGGUACAUCAUUUUACAGGAAUGUCAUGGCACUGGGACAUUAGGGUGAUAUCCACAUUUCGAUUGUUUGCCCUGCCAAAUUUUUGACAUUAUGAGGUAUUUAUGUACCUGAUUUUUUGCCAAUAUGCAAGAGGUGCAUGCUCAAAAGGGUUUUAAACUAAGGAGUUCCAUGAUCAAAUUGUCUUACGUAUUCAGAUUAUACUUGUGAUGUGCAGUUGUGUCAGUUCCAUUACUUAAGUAACCCUCAUGUUAUGCGGUUUUUGUGCCGUUCAGCAUUAGUAUAAUCUUCACAAAUGUGAGAUGCAAAUAUAAAUGAACAUCCCAAAAUUGAUGUAAAAAUACAACCAAAUGGAGAACCCUCAACAAGACUGCCCCAGAUCAGCACAACAUUGCAAUGGUCAACCACAUAGACGUAUAACAGCAGGGAAACAGGUGGUAAACCUUCCUCAACCAUUCAUGUGUAUUGUAUUUCUUCAUCUCCUAAAUGGUUGGUUUACGGAGCUGGACUGAUCCAUCGUUGCCUUUUUAAAAUGUGCCUUCUUAGACGUAAUUUCUUGAAAAGUAUUAGGUUCACCAAGGCCACCUUUAGAGCUCCAUACUUUCUUCCUCUUGGCCUGAUCUUAUUCUUCAUCCCUGUGAGAGUUGAAAAGGUUAUAAAAAUACAGAUGGAGGCUAGGACAUACAAAUUACCAACACCAACUUACAAAUGGAACCCUUCCUCUAAUACAAGCAAUUCAUAGUCUAGAAUAAGAAACAAUGUAAUUGGAUGUUUAACAGAAGCUCAGGCUGACACACUCAAAGAUAAAUGUUAUGUUACCAAACAAAUAACUGAAACAUUCUUGUCUCAAGCAUGUUAUGUAUUAGAAACUAUGGACAUCCAUAGCUAACAUCUCCAAAAGUAAUAAUGGUUGCUUUUAAAAUUCGUGAACAGACAAGCAUACUGGCUGAAAACAAAAUUAUUACAAGUUAUUUCACCUGCACAAAAAAGCAAGUGUUGAAACCUGGUUUACACUUUUCCUUAUUACAAACCAGCUUUAAAAUUGUGCUGAUAUUGUGUUUUGCAUCUUUAUAAAGUAGAUGAUACUUGACAAAAAGUUAAGCUUGUCUGUGCUUGCUACUAUUGACUCCAACAUGGAGCUCCUUUUUUGUUUGCCUUAAGGAGAGAAAAAUCCAGCCCAUCCCUAAGCUUUAAGUCAAGCUAAAAUUAACUAAAUAUGAGUACAACAGCUACUUACUUUGGGCAUUUUAGUUCCCUAUAUCUCAUCAAGGUGUUGUCCACCAAAAUUGCAAUUAAGGCCACUAGGUUAGAGCAAUACUAAUCCAGGAAGAAUAUAAAAGCACAGAUAAACAGCUAUAAUCCACAGAUCAGGCUACUCUUUCGUAUUAAGUGAAAAGCAGAUCAUAUUGGUACAAAAACAUACACAUGUCCCAUAUGGACAAGCACAUGAUACCUAAUUCUGCAUCAAACACCUGCUCGAACUUUCUCAUUGAUGUGUACAAUAAAAACAAGAUUCUGG